This is a long non-coding RNA of Suricata suricatta (meerkat), 2456 nucleotides long. The record is from Ensembl. Lineage: Eukaryota; Metazoa; Chordata; Mammalia; Carnivora; Herpestidae.
UCUAAUAAAAUCAGGUCUUCACAGUCAGGGAUAAAUGAAAUUUUAGCAACAAGGUAAGGGUUUUCCCUGUGCCCCUCUAACUACAUCAGCAGGCACAGUGCUGUGACAUCCGCGCCUGGGUCUCACGGAUAUUUAGCCUAGAGAGUUAAGGAUCGCCUCACUGCGCCCCAGAUCUUGUCUGAAGGCAGAUGAGUUAUUAAAAAAUAUCUGUCAACUGCCAAAGCGCAGGCCCCGCCUCGCUGGGCCAGCGGCUCGCACUGUUCAGACCUGUGGGCCCACGGGGUGGGCGGCCGGUGGGUCUCGGGAAACUCAAAGGAAAGGUUAUUUUCUAAUAGUAGUUAAGUCUCUCCACACCAACACAGAUCACGGAUGGCCUGAGACUCAGCCCUGCCUGAAAAUAUAACGAACCCUUUUAGCGCGAGUUAUUUCUGCAUUCUGCCUGUAUGGUGGUGGCUUUUCCUUUUUAAACAGCAAUCGCCACGCGACUGUCCCUACGCACUUAACGUGGAGAGGAAAUGAAAGACCUGGCUUCCGCUUCACGUGGGAGGGGCCGAAAAUAACAUUUUAAAAAGGGUGAUCUAAGAGUGAGAAGAAUGAAAAUCAUGUCCAAAGGAAUUAAUCUCGAACAGUCUGUUAUUAGAGCAUGAGCAUCAGCAUAAGGAGUCCUGCUUCCGGUCCUGUUCGACAAGGGGCGUGGCGGCAGAGGACCGCACCCUUGCAGCCCAUUUUCUGCCCUCCAAAAAUGACGAUGCUCCUCCUGCCACUCCUCACAGGGCGGCCGUUAAAGGUCUACACCACUACCAGGACCAGCUCCUGAGGAAACAGGGACAGCAGCAGAGGGCCCUUACCCGGUGGACAUCGUGAGCGAAUGGCCGCACGGGUCUCAUCAGGAGGGCGACACGGGAUCAGGAACGCGCCAGCAUUGAAGAGGGAGGGGCUUCAGCCCCUGAGCAGUGCGGGAGAAACAUUCUUAUCCGAGGAGCUGGUCAUCGGUGCCCUCAGUGCAGAGAAGUGGCAACGAGAUGUGGUGUAACAGGAUGGCAUGGGAAGAGCAGGUUAAUGAUGGGGAUCUCGUCCAUCCAAACCGCUAACAUGUAAUCUGACUGCCCCCUCGGAGGACUAAGUGAAAGCACUUGCACAGCACGCAUCACGGGGCUGGCACAUCACACACGUGAGUGCUGGCCGUGUGCUCCGGAAGUAGUCGUGGGGUGCGGGGCACCUCCGGGCCGACUUGGGUGCAGGAAAUGCCGCUCGCAGGUCGUCACCAGUAUCUCCAGGGCUGACGGGCUACCUCAGUUGGUGUUUGCAUUCCUGUCUCUAAGGGCACACAGAGCCUCAUGUAUUAAUUACCAGCUAGAUUUUCUCCAGGUUUCAGUGACUUCUCCUGAGACACUUGGGGGGCUGAUGUGAUGAUGAUCUCAUGGUUUUUUUCCACCGCCAGUGCCUUGAACUCUCUGAGGUUCUCCAGCCUCGGUCUGAAUUAUAUAAAUAAAGGUGCUCUAAUUGCUAAAGGCCAGAGCUUUUUCAUUUUCUUAUUUUAAAAUUUCCUUCGUUAUAUAUGUUUGGUGUAUGUACAAAACAACAAACAUUAUAAAAAAGUAAAACACCACACCUAGGAAGCACCUGCACUCACACGGCGAUCAUGGCCUGUGUGUGCACUUCUAUCACACCCACCCAAAUACAGGUAACUCAGACAUGUAUUCUUCCUUUUUCACUAAAGUGAGAACGUGUGUGUGCAUGCGUGCGCACACACAACAUAUAUUACUCUGUUCAUGCAAUAUAGUAUGGUAGACAUCACUCCAGGUAACUGUGGAUUAAAAACUAAUUUAAUUUGAAUAGCGUAAAACUCUAUAGUAUGGAUUUGCUGAUUAUAUGAUUCUCCUAUAAGCAGACACUUAAAUGGUUUCCUUUUUACCCAUAUACUUACUCUUUACUUUUUAGAGAGAGCAAGCGAGUGACUACAGGGGAGGGGCAGAGGGAGAGGGAGAUACAGAAUCUGAAUCGGGCUCCAGGCCCUGAGCUGUCAGCACAGAGCCUGACGCGGGGCUGGAACCCACAAACUAUGACCUGAGCCAAGUCGGACGCUCAACGACUCAGCCACCCAGGCGUUCCAAUCUGUCAUUUUUAUGUGUUCUAUGAGGUGUUCUCAAAAUGUAAGACUAUUAGACUAAAACACCUGUACUUUUAAUAAGUGCAUAUUUCCUACGACACUACAACUCACUUUCCCAUUAGCGGUGUGAACGCACAUCUAUGUCUCCCUCUCCCUUCUGAGACUUUUUGGCUAGACAGCCACAGUCUUUUUUGUUUUUAGUCAGAGAACCUUGCUAGGUUGUAUCUCCUUGUCAACCAUUUGUCAUUAUUUCCCCUGGGGCACUGCAUCUUUUAUUCCUUAAAUUCAUAUUUUUUCAGUAUUUUCUUCAUUUUAAACUUGAAAUCUUUGCUCCAUUUGGGGGGUU